UAGAGCUCAACUAAGACUUAAGAUGGCGGCGUGCGUGCUGAGGAAAAGUACUGCUGGCCUAUUAGGUGUGGAAAGCAGCCAAAGAGCAAAUCUGGGGAAAAUACAGAAGCUCGCCAACUUUUGUUUUGUGG
This 131-nucleotide long non-coding RNA is filed under the name Neogale vison (American mink). RNAcentral's name for it is "Neovison vison (American mink) JPX transcript, XIST activator conserved region 1 (ENSNVIG00000024811.1)". It matches the Rfam family "JPX transcript, XIST activator conserved region 1". Lineage: Eukaryota; Metazoa; Chordata; Mammalia; Carnivora; Mustelidae. The record is from RNAcentral.